This is an RNA transcript of Physeter macrocephalus (sperm whale), 2467 nucleotides long. It is a transcript of the gene named crooked neck pre-mRNA splicing factor 1, with no coding region annotated. NCBI's taxonomy places the organism in Eukaryota, Metazoa, Chordata, Mammalia, Artiodactyla, Physeteridae. The transcript has 16 exons. The record is from RefSeq and is a predicted model, not a curated record.
UCCAGCUUGUUGGAAAGCUUAGCGGUGCGGGCGAGUGUCCUGGGCCCGUUUCUGGGGUCUAGGGGUCUCCUGAGUCUGCCGCUGCAGCCAUGGCGGCCUCCACCGCGGCCGGGAAGCAGAGGAUUCCCAAAGUGGCCAAGGUGAAAAACAAAGCCCCAGCUGAGGUGCAGAUAACUGCGGAGCAGCUGCUAAGAGAAGCUAAGGAAAGAGAACUUGAGCUUCUUCCACCUCCCCCUCAACAGAAGAUCACAGAUGAAGAAGAGUUAAAUGAUUACAAACUAAGGAAGAGGAAGACUUUUGAAGACAACAUAAGAAAAAACAGGACUGUGAUUAGUAACUGGAUAAAAUAUGCACAAUGGGAAGAGAGUCUAAAGGAGAUUCAAAGGGCUCGAUCCAUAUACGAACGUGCUUUGGAUGUGGACUAUCGAAAUAUUACACUCUGGCUGAAAUAUGCAGAAAUGGAAAUGAAGAAUCGCCAGGUCAACCAUGCCCGAAAUAUCUGGGACCGGGCCAUAACGACUCUGCCUCGCGUCAAUCAGUUCUGGUACAAGUACACGUACAUGGAGGAGAUGCUGGGGAACAUGGCGGGUGCCCGGCAGGUGUUCGAGCGCUGGAUGGAGUGGCAGCCAGAGGAGCAGGCCUGGCACUCCUACAUCAACUUCGAGCUGAGAUACAAAGAGGUGGAUCGGGCCCGCACCAUUUAUGAGCGCUUUGUUCUUGUGCACCCUGAUGUGAAGAACUGGAUCAAGUACGCCCGCUUUGAAGAAAAGCAUGGUUACUUUGCCCAUGCGCGGAAGGUGUAUGAGAGAGCUGUCGAAUUCUUUGGGGAUGAACAUAUGGAUGAACACCUUUAUGUUGCCUUUGCCAAAUUUGAGGAAAAUCAAAAAGAAUUUGAGAGGGUACGAGUGAUCUAUAAGUACGCCCUGGAUCGAAUUUCAAAGCAGGAAGCCCAGGAACUCUUUAAAAAUUACACCAUCUUUGAGAAGAAGUUUGGUGACAGGCGGGGCAUUGAAGACAUCAUCGUGAGCAAACGGAGGUUCCAGUACGAGGAGGAGGUGAAGGCUAACCCACACAACUAUGAUGCAUGGUUCGAUUACUUGCGCUUGGUGGAAAGCGACGCAGAGGCAGAGACGGUGCGGGAAGUCUAUGAGCGAGCCAUCGCCAACGUGCCGCCUGUGCAGGAGAAGAGGCACUGGAAGCGCUACAUCUACCUGUGGAUCAACUAUGCCCUCUACGAGGAGCUGGAGGCGAAGGAUCCGGAGAGGACGAGACAAGUUUACCAAGCCUCUUUGGAACUCAUUCCUCAUAAAAAGUUCACAUUUGCCAAAAUGUGGUUACUGUAUGCACAGUUUGAAAUAAGACAGAAAAAUUUACCAUUUGCCAGAAGAGCUUUGGGAACUUCCAUAGGCAAGUGUCCAAAGAACAAGUUAUUUAAAGGUUACAUAGAACUGGAGCUACAGCUUCGAGAAUUUGACAGAUGCCGGAAGCUUUAUGAAAAGUUCCUGGAAUUUGGGCCUGAAAAUUGUACCUCUUGGAUUAAAUUUGCAGAAUUAGAGACAAUCCUUGGCGAUAUCGAGAGAGCCCGGGCCAUCUACGAGUUAGCCAUCAGUCAGCCACGCUUGGACAUGCCGGAGGUGCUUUGGAAAUCAUAUAUUGAUUUUGAAAUUGAGCAGGAAGAAACUGAAAGAACACGAAAUCUUUACCGACGAUUGCUUCAACGGACACAACAUGUCAAGGUAUGGAUCAGUUUUGCACAGUUUGAGUUGUCCUCAGGGAAGGAAGGAAGUUUGGCUAAAUGCAGACAAAUUUAUGAAGAGGCUAACAAAACCAUGCGAAACUGUGAAGAAAAGGAAGAGAGACUUAUGUUGCUGGAAUCUUGGCGAAGCUUUGAAGAUGAAUUUGGAACAGUAUCAGAUAAGGAGAGAGUAGACAAACUCAUGCCAGAGAAAGUCAAGAAGAGAAGAAAGGUCCAAGCUGAUGAUGGGUCGGAUGCAGGCUGGGAAGAAUACUAUGAUUACAUCUUUCCGGAAGAUGCUGCCAACCAGCCCAACCUCAAGCUCCUGGCCAUGGCCAAACUGUGGAAGAAACAGCAGCAGGAGAAGGAGCCUGGCGAGCAAGACCCAGAUGCGGACGUUGCCGAGCAGGAAUCCGGGCCUUCCUGUUCCUGUUGAGAGAUGUUUUAUUAUUUUUAUAGAUUUAUAGUUUAGAACUCUUGCAAUUCCUGUGCAAUGCUGGCUGUGUUUCCCAAACUUAAUGGACAAGGGAAUCAUCUCUACCUAGAGCACCAAUAAAUGUUGCGCGGCGUGCUGCAGUAGACUGUCUACCUGUAAAACCUGACACGUUCAACUUAGCCUCGAUUUAGAACGUGAAAAACAGCUGAGAGCUCCAGGAUCAUCUAAUGAAAAUAAUAUUGUCCAUAAAAUAUCUGGAGCAUCAUCAGCCUAAGAACCACUGCUCAUGGUUAUUC